Candoia aspera is the source of this 1324-nucleotide long non-coding RNA. RefSeq lists it as uncharacterized. NCBI's taxonomy places the organism in Eukaryota, Metazoa, Chordata, Lepidosauria, Squamata, Candoiidae. The transcript has 2 exons. The record is from RefSeq and is a predicted model, not a curated record.
CAAAUAUUGCCGAAAGAAAGAUGCUAAGCUAGAAGUCAUUGUUUGCUGGAUCUUUACUCACAGGCAGUUUUACUUUUGGGAAAGAGCACCCAUUCCUUGUGGUCUGAAAGUGACAGAGUUGACGAUCGUCUUCUUCUGGACCUGGAAAGAGUCACUGAGGCCAUUGAGUGACUUAGCCCUGCUCUGUGCAGGAAUCCAGAUUAAAGCAUCCCUGCUAGACAGGUGCCGGCUGAUGUUUGAACGUGUGCAGUGAAGGAGAACCCUCAACCUCUCUGGUUCCACUGUUCAACAAUUCUUACUGUUCUGCUAGGAAGGUUUUUCUAACAUUUAAUGAUAAUCAGCCUUGCAAUUAAAACCAUUGCUCCCUAUUGUGACCUCUGAAGCAGGAGGACAGGCCUUGACUUUCUUCUGUGUGAUGCCCUUUCAGUAUCUAGCAUACCCCCCUCAGGUGGUGUCCCCACUUGCCUGAACCAUGGCCCUAUCAUUCCUUGACCAUUGCAAUCCUCCCCCCACACUUUUGUCCCUAUAACAUUGCCUUAGUUUCAUCUCCUGCCUAUGUAUGAGGCAGAUUUAAGUUGUUUCCUUAGUUCUAUUGUUGUUAAACCCAUUUUCCCCUUAUUCUGAAACUGUCCAGCAGCAGCACCUUCCAAGUGCUGCACUAUCACUACUGUUUUAUUUGUUUGUUUGUUUGAAUUUAUAAGCUGCCCAACUCCAAUGGACUCCAAUGUUGGAGGCAAAGUUGAAGGCAAAGUCAGAUUAUCAGUAAUGGGAAUGAUCAGAGAGACGUCUGUUGGGUGUUUCAGGCUGAUGUCAGGCAUGCCCUUCUGAUUACCAACCAGCCUCUUCUACCACCAUUCUGCUGUUUGCUUCCUAAGAUCUUGGAUGAGUUGUUUUAACCCAGCCUCACUUCUUGGCUGUUGCAAAGAAAACUAUACAAACCUGUGCAGUCAUGGCCAGAUUAUAUAAGAAACUGAGGGCUCUUUGACUCACAUAAGUUGUCCCCUUUUGGUUUCAAGUUACAGCAUGUGUUAAUACAAUUCUGGGAAAAAUGUCAUAAUUAAAGAUGUAAAUGUUAUGCUGAAUUAUAAUCCCAAAAUAUGGAAUUUGACAUUUUAUUAAGAACUCUAGCAUUCUCAAGCUUUGGAGCUCGGGACAGAGAAUUAUCUUAUGUAGAUGGAGAAAAAUCUAUCAUUCUGAUGUUAAAAAAUGGAUUCAGGAUAGGUGUUUCUUAUCAAUUGUAGAACUGACUUUAUAGUCUACAAGUGAUAAAUUGUAGCAUUAUGCUCUUAUAUGGUCUAAAUGUAAUAAACAGUCCUCUUUCAUA